This 882-nucleotide unclassified non-coding RNA is filed under the name uncultured Synechococcus sp. RNAcentral describes it as "partial may contain 16S ribosomal RNA, 16S-23S ribosomal RNA intergenic spacer, and 23S ribosomal RNA". The stretch from base 348 to 420 matches the Rfam family "tRNA". Lineage: Bacteria; Bacillati; Cyanobacteriota; Cyanophyceae; Synechococcales; Synechococcaceae. The record is from RNAcentral.
CGUCGAAGGUGGGGCUGAUGACUGGGGUGAAGUCGUAACAAGGUAUCCGUACCGGAAGGUGCGGAUGGAUCACCUCCUAACAGGGAGACAAAACAAUGAUUUUGAUGUCUGAGUAUUUCAUUCUUAGGCCGAAAUCCUGUCACCUUAGGUCGAUCGGUACCUCAACAUUUUUCCAAAAAUUGGUGAGCAAUCAUCAAGAGAUUGGAAGGGAUGUUCAGUUCCUAAACUUUGUCUAGGUCACACCCCGCAAGGGAAGAGUCCCCUGGGCCAUUAGCUCAGGUGGUUAGAGCGCACCCCUGAUAAGGGUGAGGUCCCUGGUUCAAGUCCAGGAUGGCCCAUUCGAUGUUGGGGGUUUAGCUCAGUUGGUAGAGCGCCUGCUUUGCAAGCAGGAUGUCAGGAGUUCGAGUCUCCUAACCUCCACUGACAGAACUCAAUCUCCAUUGUCCGGUAACUCGGAGGAUGAACUCAAAGGUGUGUGAUUUAGAUGUGUCCACUAGAUAGGACCCUAGCUUCCUGUCAUCCCGAACAAGUGAUUAUUGCUUGAUUGGUUGAUAUGAUGCUGGGCUCAGAUUAAUCGAAAGAUUAAUCUGAUCUCUAGUAGAACCUUGACAACUGCAUAAGUAAGUCUGGAAAAACGAAGCAUCUUACAGAUGUAUUGUUUUAAGUCUGAAUUCUCGAAAGAGAGUUUAGAUCUAGAAUGAUGAAAAUUCUUUUAAGCAAGAGCCGAGACUCUUAGAUGUUCUUUUUAUCGUGUCGAGCGAUAAAGAGUUUGAUUUUGUUUUUAUGAGCAGCGAAAGUUGCUGAUGAAACCAGAAGAAUCUGCUUUCAACCGCAGUAAGCGUUUAAGAGGUUAAUUGGUCAAGCUACAAAGGGCUCACGGCG